AACGAACGCUGGCGGCAGGCCUAACACAUGCAAGUCGAACGCUCCGCAAGGGGAGUGGCGCACGGGUGAGUAACACGUGGGAACCUACCUUCUGGUACGGAACAACCAAGGGAAACUUUGGCUAAGACCGUAUACGACCUCCGGGUGAAAGAUUGAUCGCCGGAAGAGGGGCCCGCGUCCGAUUAGGUAGUUGGUGAGGUAACGGCUCACCAAGCCUUCGAUCGGUAGCUGGUCUGAGAGGAUGACCAGCCACACUGGGACUGAGACACGGCCCAGACUCCUACGGGAGGCAGCAGUGGGGAAUAUUGGACAAUGGGCGCAAGCCUGAUCCAGCCAUGCCGCGUGAGUGAUGAAGGCCUUCGGUUGUAAG
Molecule: ribosomal RNA, 370 nt
Filed under: uncultured bacterium
Lineage: Bacteria
Description: bacterial SSU rRNA
Rfam family: Bacterial small subunit ribosomal RNA
Source: RNAcentral